This 497-nucleotide ribosomal RNA is filed under the name uncultured bacterium. RNAcentral describes it as "partial 16S ribosomal RNA". It matches the Rfam family "Bacterial small subunit ribosomal RNA", at positions 28 to 507 of the family's 1533-position model. The record is from RNAcentral.
GAUGAACGCUGGCGGCGUGCCUAAUACAUGCAAGUCGAGCGAACAGACGAGGAGCUUGCUCCUCUGACUUUAGCGGCGGACGGGUGAGUAACACGUGGAUAACCUACCUAUAAGACUGGGAUAACUUCGGGAAACCGGAGCUAAUACCGGAUAACAUGUUGAACCGCAUGGUUCAACAGUGAAAGACGGUCUUGCUGUCACCUAUAGAUGGAUCCGCGCCGCAUUAGCUAGUUGGUAAGGUAACGGCUUACCAAGGCAACGAUGCGUAGCCGACCUGAGAGGGUGAUCGGCCACAUUGGAACUGAGACACGGUCCAGACUCCUACGGGAGGCAGCAGUGGGGAAUCUUCCGCAAUGGGCGAAAGUCUGACGGAGCAACGCCGCGUGAGUGAAGAAGGUCUUCGGAUCGUAAAACUCUGUUGUUAGGGAAGAACAAAUGUGUAAGUAACUAUGCACGUCUUGACGGUACCUAAUCAGAAAGCCACGGCUAACUACGUG